RNAcentral lists this transfer RNA (75 nucleotides) under Albidovulum inexpectatum. RNAcentral describes it as "tRNA-Thr". It matches the Rfam family "tRNA". Rfam says of the family: Transfer RNA (tRNA) molecules are approximately 80 nucleotides in length. Their secondary structure includes four short double-helical elements and three loops (D, anti-codon, and T loops). Lineage: Bacteria; Pseudomonadati; Pseudomonadota; Alphaproteobacteria; Rhodobacterales; Paracoccaceae. The record is from RNAcentral. RNAcentral also lists the same sequence under 40 other names.
GCUGCCGUAGCUCAGUGGUAGAGCACUCCCUUGGUAAGGGAGAGGUCGAGAGUUCAAUCCUCUCCGGCAGCACCA